This 256-nucleotide ribosomal RNA is filed under the name uncultured bacterium. RNAcentral's name for it is "partial 16S ribosomal RNA". It matches the Rfam family "Bacterial small subunit ribosomal RNA", at positions 524 to 776 of the family's 1533-position model. The record is from RNAcentral.
CACGUAGGGUGCGAGCGUUGUCCGGAAUUAUUGGGCGUAAAGAGCUCGUAGGCGGUGUGUCACGUCGGCCCGUGAAAAACCUGCAGCUUAACUGUGGGCGUGCGGUCGAUACGGGCAUCACUGGAGUUCGGCAGGGGAGACUGGAAUUCCUGGUGUAGCGGUGAAAUGCGCAGAUAUCAGGAGGAACACCGGUGGCGAAGGCGGGUCUCUGGGCCGAUACUGACGCUGAGGAGCGAAAGCGUGGGGAGCAAACAGG